This 3517-nucleotide long non-coding RNA is filed under the name Sus scrofa (pig). RNAcentral describes it as "lncRNA (ENSSSCG00055007168.1)". Lineage: Eukaryota; Metazoa; Chordata; Mammalia; Artiodactyla; Suidae. The record is from RNAcentral.
CUCGAAACUUCCCUACCUCCUUUCAUCGCCUGAUCUAUUCCUCACCUUUUUUCAAAGCUCCUGGUUCUUCUAUCGCAGAAAUUCCUCUUGUCGCUAGACAUUUGCUCACACUGGUCCUUCUUCUUCAAUUAAUCCCUGUUUCCCAUUCCCCUCUCCCCUUCACCGUCCCCCCACUCCCUUUGUGGCCAGCUCUUACUCAUUCAGCAAGUCUCACUCAAGAUUUCUUUUUUUCUGGGGUUCCCGUCGUGGUGCAGUGGGAACGAGUCCCACUGGGAACCAUGAGGAUGUGGGUUUCAUCCCUGACUCGCUCAGUGGGCUAAGGAUUUGGCGUUCCCGUGAAAUGUGGUGUAGGCUACAGAUGCGGCUCAGAUGCUGUGUUGCUGUGGUUGUGAGGUCGGCCAGCAGCUGUAGCUCCGAUUUGACCCCUAGCCUGGGAACCUCCAUAUGCCGCAAGUGCGGCCCUAAAAAAGCCAAAAAAAAAAAAAAAAAAAAAUUUCUUUUUUCCAUGAAACCUUUACUUUCNUUUUUGCCUUUGUCCUUCUUAUGAUCUCUCAGUUGCCCCCUCUUCCUAUCUUAUCACACAAGUUCACAGCCUCAAAGGACUUCCUUUUUUCUACCAUAUGACCCAGUGUUGGGUCCUCAUUAUCUCAUUCAGAGCCUGAGACUUAGCCUCAAGGUGUGACUUUCUACUGCAUUUCUCCCUAUCCAGAAUUUUGGAUGCUUUUCAUAAAGUGAAGGAGAAAAUCAUAUCACCCUGCUCAAAAAUUAUCACUAAAGUUUUAAUUAGUACUUAAUUAAUUCUUACUUACUUAAGCCUACCGUUACAGACUUUCCAAACAAGAUUCCAGUCUCCUGUCCAACUCUUCUGACUGCUCCUACCCUGUGAGUGUCCUAUGAGGGCACCAAAUCAAACCAUUGGCUGCUUCCACUCUUUUCCUUCUCAGGUUCCCUGUGUAUUUCAUUCCCAUUUUCUGGCUUUCCUCCUUCCCCUCUCCAACCAAUUUUUUCAGCCAUCUUUUUCUUUUUUUUUUUUUAGGGCUACAACCAGGGCAUAUGGAGGUUCCCAAGCUAGGGGUCGGAGCUGUAGUCACCAGCCUACACCACAGCCAUAGCAUCUCGGGAUCUGAGCUGCAUCUGCUACCUACACCACAGCUCAUGGCAACACCAGAUCCCUAACCCACUGAGUGAAGGCACGUAUUGAACCUGCAUCCUCAUAGAUGCUAGUCAGAUUCGGUUCCACUGAGCCACGAUGAGAACUUCUCAGCUAACUUUUAGGGUGCUCCUUCUUCCGUUCUGCCAUGAUCUGCUUUUCGGCAUUUUUGUUUUUGUUUACAUCACACGUUCAGUCUCACAUACACAAGGAAAUAGAAUAGAGCUUUAUCUAACACUACUCUUAAGCACGGUGAUUAAGAGAAUUGGUCAAGGAGCCAAACUGCUUGUGUUUUAACAGUUCUCUCUCUAUUUCCCUGUGGCCUCAGAGAUGCUGUGUAACCUCUCCUUGCCUUAGCGUUCUUAUCUCUAAGAAGGAAGAAAUUUGUGCCUACCUUACAGGGUUAUUGGCCAGAUUGAGUGAAUGAAUCCAUGUCAAACACAAAGACAGUAUCUGGCACAUAGUAGGUUCUUCAUAAAUAUUGUUAUUGUUAUAGAUUGUCUAAGUGAGAAACACUUUAUUGUAAUGGAGUGUUUUUUUCACAAGUCAUCAAAUACACAAAAGGAAAGAAAAGAAGGGAGCUCGUCACCAAUGACUAAAUUAUUUGAGUAAAGGUUUAGGGAAUUGGUAAAUUAAGGCAUUCUCUACUUCAUUUUGGGCUUGAGUAUUAAGGCAAUACCAUAGAACCAUUUUAAUCUAAUUUUGAACCAUUUCCUCCGGGGUUUUUAAGAGUUUCAUUAAAGAAAUCUCAAAGUAAAGAUGGCUACUUUUUUUUUAACACUGAAUUUUCAAGCUCCUUAGAGUAAAGGUAAGAUCUGUGCUUUUUUUUUUUUUUUUCAUUUGAGCUUUUGAUGUCUUUUCUCUCUUAUAUCACUUCCAUUAAUGAGAAAGCCUUCCAAAUCAUGGUUUAGCCUGUCUACUUAAUUGCGUUUCUCAAGAAUAACAGGCUGUUUUAUAAUAAUUGCCUGAAUGACUAGAUUAAAAACGAAGAUGAGAACAAGUUGAAGAAUUCACUUCAGUUUGAAAAUGUGACUUCCAGUUGACCCUCGAGAAAUGUGCUGUGCAAAAUGCAUUCGCCUCGACAGAAACACUGGUCUGUGUUAGUUUGUGUAGUUAGUAUUGAAGGUAUGCCUGCAGUGGGGCAAAUAGUCUCUAGCAAUAACCAAAUUCUCAGUGAAUUUGGAAUAGAGUGGCCUGAAACAGGGACUAUGGAUACCAUAGCAGGUGGCACAUUUCUUUUAUCUUCUCUGGUGAUGCGAAGUCAGUCUUUCUCCGUCACCUCACCUAAACCUUCCUUCUCCACAGCCCCUCUACCUCUGCCUCUAAGAUGCUCAAAAGCUGGGAUGACAUUCAUAUGGCACAGAUCACUUCAUUCUGGGUUGGGCAUCAUAACACAUUUGUCCAUCAGAGGUUUGGGGAGAGCAAAUGUCAGAAAUCUCAGUCAAUUUAUCUCAAGCUAAUAGUUCAAGGGAUGGAUUAAGAGAUUUGGAAUAUGGUUUAUUGAUGCAUGACACUGGCAGGCCCAGGAAAAACUGACCUUGGAAAUCAAAGUACUCAGAUGUUGGCAUCACAUAUCCCCCUUCUUCCUCUUUGUCCCAUUUUUCUCAGCUAUGCUUCUCUGUAUUUAUUUUUUCCUACAUGACGCAAGGUUUAGAGGGGCAUAUGGUGGCAAUUAUUUUCAGACAUAUAUUACUUUAGCUUAGUUACCCAGAAGGAAGACAGUCUUUUUCUCUCAUUGAACUCAUGAAAUUCCAGGGAACAACUCUGAAUUUGCUCUGGUCUUCUGGCCAACUGUUGGCUUAGACACUGUGAAUACAGGUUCAAAGAUGUGUAACUGGCUAGGUUCUUGGCAGAAUUCAAGUAUCAGGAUUGAGAACCUUAUCACGUGAAUUGAGAAUGGGAAACCCCCCAAGGAGAGAGCAGAAAAUGGGAAUGGCACUGGGCAGACACAAGUAGCAGGUGUCCCUUACUUUUCACAAACCUGACCUUGAUUAUCUUUCACUUUUGACACCAUUGCUCUUUUUUCACCUCAACCCUCUUUGUGUAAUAGUAAUAUUUUUUAUAGUUGGGUUUUAACAUCAUUUUAUUCAUCCAUUGAGUGUAUUAAAGCAUCUGUAUCUUUGUGAUGCAGGGUAAUACAUAAUUGGGGAACACAAGUUGCUUGCUUCUUAAAGGAAACUCCAUGAUGUAUUCUUUUAUAAUGCAUAAUUAACCUUCUAGAUGAGGGUUCUUAGACCACAUUCAUCAUUAUAAUUCCCUGGAAAUUUAAGAGACAAAGAGAGAGAGAGACCUGGUUUAGUAUAUCAAGUUGAAGACUGGGGGUAUGAAUGAUUAAGAUGAUUUAAUGAUUAUUCCAGUUCUGUUGAC